RNAcentral lists this ribosomal RNA (427 nucleotides) under uncultured bacterium. RNAcentral's name for it is "bacterial SSU rRNA". It matches the Rfam family "Bacterial small subunit ribosomal RNA", at positions 355 to 799 of the family's 1533-position model. The record is from RNAcentral.
UCGGGAAUUUUGGGCAAUGGGCGAAAGCCUGACCCAGCAACGCCGCGUGAAGGAUGAAGUAUUUCGGUAUGUAAACUUCGAAAGAAUAGGAAGAAUAAAUGACGGUACUAUUUAUAAGGUCCGGCUAACUACGUGCCAGCAGCCGCGGUAAUACGUAGGGACCAAGCGUUGUUCGGAUUUACUGGGCGUAAAGGGCGCGUAGGCGGCAAUUCAAGUCAUCUGUGAAAUCUCCGGGCUUAACUCGGAACGGUCAGAUGAUACUGCUUUGCUAGAGUGCAGAAGGGGCAAUCGGAAUUCUUGGUGUAGCGGUGAAAUGCGUAGAUAUCAAGAGGAACACCUGAGGUGAAGACGGGUUGCUGGGCUGACACUGACGCUGAGGCGCGAAAGCCAGGGGAGCAAACGGGAUUAGAUACCCAUGUAGUCCCUG